GGAAUAGCUCAGUUGGUAAAGUGCAUGCUUUGCAUGCACAAGGCCCUGGGUUCGAUUCCCAGACCA
Molecule: transfer RNA, 66 nt
Filed under: Marmota monax (woodchuck)
Lineage: Eukaryota; Metazoa; Chordata; Mammalia; Rodentia; Sciuridae
Description: tRNA.Ala
Rfam family: tRNA (bases 5-62)
About the family: Transfer RNA (tRNA) molecules are approximately 80 nucleotides in length. Their secondary structure includes four short double-helical elements and three loops (D, anti-codon, and T loops). Further hydrogen bonds mediate the characteristic L-shaped molecular structure. tRNAs have two regions of fundamental functional importance: the anti-codon, which is responsible for specific mRNA codon recognition, and the 3' end, to which the tRNAs corresponding amino acid is attached (by aminoacyl-tRNA synthetases). tRNAs cope with the degeneracy of the genetic code in two manners: having more than one tRNA (with a specific anti-codon) for a particular amino acid; and 'wobble' base-pairing, i.e. permitting non-standard base-pairing at the 3rd anti-codon position.
Source: RNAcentral